AUCGCUUCUCGGCCUUUUGGCUAAGAUCAAGCAUAAUAUCUUUACAUUCGCACUGUUAAGUUUAUUGGUAUAAGGCUUCAUAGUAAUGUUUUACCUAUAGUGUGUAUAGAAUCCUUCAUACACACACACAAACAUUAUGAAUAUAUGUUUGAAAUUUAU
Oryctolagus cuniculus (rabbit) is the source of this 159-nucleotide small nuclear RNA. Its record names the gene U2. It matches the Rfam family "U2 spliceosomal RNA". Rfam says of the family: U2 is a small nuclear RNA (snRNA) component of the spliceosome (involved in pre-mRNA splicing). The record is from Ensembl. NCBI's taxonomy places the organism in Eukaryota, Metazoa, Chordata, Mammalia, Lagomorpha, Leporidae.